This is a long non-coding RNA of Lynx canadensis (Canada lynx), 138 nucleotides long. RefSeq lists it as uncharacterized. Lineage: Eukaryota; Metazoa; Chordata; Mammalia; Carnivora; Felidae. The transcript has 3 exons. The record is from RefSeq and is a predicted model, not a curated record.
CAAUAAAUCAAAACAUUUAGUUAAUUCUUAAAAGUAUAGGAGAUAGAAAUUUAAUUUGGCACUAUAGAGAAAGUACCAUAAGGGAAAGAUGAAAGAAAAAUUAAAAGCCCUAACAGAUGGAGAAGAGCACACGUUUGA